GUGCCAGCAGCCGCGGUAAUACGGAGGAUGCGAGCGUUAUCCGGAUUUAUUGGGUUUAAAGGGUCCGUAGGCGGGUUAAUAAGUCAGCGGUGAAAACCUGCAGCUUAACUGUAGAACUGCCGUUGAUACUGUUAAUCUUGAAUAGUAUUGAAGUAGCUGGAAUGUGUAGUGUAGCGGUGAAAUGCAUAGAUAUUACACAGAACCCCGAUUGCGAAGGCAGGUUACUAAAUACCGAUUGACGCUGAUGGACGAAAGCGUGGGGAGCGAACAGGAUUAGAUACCCUGGUAGUCCACGCCGUAAACGAUGGAUACUCGUUGUUGGGGGUAUAAUUCUCAGUGACUAAGCGAAAGUAAUAAGUAUCCCACCUGGGGAGUACGACCGCAAGGUUGAAACUCAAAGGAAUUGACGGGGGCCCGCACAAGCGGUGGAGCAUGUGGUUUAA
This 443-nucleotide ribosomal RNA is filed under the name uncultured bacterium. Its description in RNAcentral is "bacterial SSU rRNA". It matches the Rfam family "Bacterial small subunit ribosomal RNA", at positions 505 to 949 of the family's 1533-position model. The record is from RNAcentral.